RNAcentral lists this ribosomal RNA (253 nucleotides) under uncultured bacterium. Its description in RNAcentral is "partial 16S ribosomal RNA". It matches the Rfam family "Bacterial small subunit ribosomal RNA", at positions 524 to 776 of the family's 1533-position model. RNAcentral also lists the same sequence under 1 other name. The record is from RNAcentral.
UACGAAGGGUGCAAACGUUAUUCGGAAUCACUGGGCGUAAAGGGUGUGUAGACGGCAUACUAAGUUCGUUGUUUAAUCUUCCGGCCUAACCGGAAGCUCGCGAUGGAAACUGGUAAGCUUGAGGAUGGAAGAGAGAAGUGGAAUUCUCGGAGUAGCGGUAAAAUGCGUAGAUCUCGAGAGGAACACCGAUGGCGAAGGCAGCUUCUUGGUCCACUCCUGACGUUGAGACACGAAAGCGUGGGUAGCAAACAGG